Molecule: ribosomal RNA, 3987 nt
Filed under: Triticum aestivum (bread wheat)
Lineage: Eukaryota; Viridiplantae; Streptophyta; Magnoliopsida; Poales; Poaceae
Description: partial small subunit ribosomal RNA
Source: RNAcentral
CCCCACCCCGCAAGUCGAUAUGCCUCCCAGACGCAAACCCCAACCGUCGGCGAAGAAACCCCUGCGCCGCUCCGGAAGGGUCAAUUCCGCCACGGCCAUGGCCGAUUCCGCCGAUCCAACCCCGUCCCCGCCGCCGCCGGAAGCCUCCCCCGCCGCCGCCAAGCCCGUCUCCGUCGAUCCGGCCCCGGAGUCGGCCUCCCCCGCCGCCAAGCCCGUCUCCGCCGAUCCGGUCCCGCCCCAGGCCCCGGAGGCGGCCACCCCCGCCCCCGCUGCCAAGACCGUCUCCGCCGAUCCGGUCCCGCACCAGGCCCCGGAGGCGGCCACGCCCGCCGCCGCCGCCGCCGCCGCCGGGCCCGAUCUGGACGGGCCGCCCCGGAGAUCCGCCACAGCCGGCAAGCUCAAGAAGCCCUUCACCGACAAGCUCCGCGCCGCCGCGGAGGAGCGCCUCGCGCGCAUCCCGGUCGACCUCCGCCUCCGCCCGCUGGACCCCCCGCCGCCCUCCAUCUCCAACCACGAGGCCGCCCUCCGCGCCCUCGGCCUCCUCGACUUCGCGCGGUUUGACCCCGGAUCUGAGCCCCCGCGCCCCGACCUCGUCGCGCAGCUCAUCGCCUAUUACGACCGGAUUAAUCAACGCAGCUUCGUCUGGGACACCCGCGUCAGUCUCAACCGCACGGAAUUGGCCAACGCCUUCUCCCUCCCGAAAAAGACAGUCGGGCCGCCCGCCCCGCCCCGAGGGUUCAAAACCGCGGCCUUGGUCUCCGCCGCCCUGGAGUUCAUGCGCGUCUGCAUCCAUCCCUGGUUCACGGACUGCACACUGCCGCAGGAGGUGGCCGGCGGGGAACAGACUGUGAAGGAUGGGUCACCGCAUAAGGUUAACUGGGCGGGCAUCAUCUGGGGUAUCAUCGAGAAGGAGAUUCACGAGCUGCCCGGGAGGGAUGAUGGGGUGUGCCAAUACGGGGCGUAUCUUCAGCAGCUCAUCCGGGUGCAGAAGCCGCUGCUGUUUGAGCUGCCGCAGAAAGAGGAGGCAGGGAAGCUUGUUCGGAAGGUGCCUUCUGAUUUAGUUAAGGACGAGCGGGAUGGAGACGCAGAUGCCAGGAACAAGGGCUUGCAGGAGUUGGAGCCUAGAGAUGCAGAUGCGGAUGCGAGCAGCAAGGGCCCGAAGGAAUCUGAGUUAGAGGGUGUGAGUCUGACCAGCAAGAGCUUGGAUGAAUCGGGGCCCGCAGAUGCUGAUGCUAGUGGUAAUGACUUGAAGGAGUUGGAGUCUGGGGAUGUGAGGAGCAACAUCUUGGAGGAAUCAGAGACAGCAGGUGUGGAUUUGAGGAGCAGUGACUUGAAUGAGUCUGGGGAUGCAAGGAGCAACAUCUUGGAGGAACCAGAGACAGAAGGUUCGGAUUUGAGGAAGAAUGACUUAAAGAAGUCAGAUUCUGGGGAUGCAGGGAGCAAGAGCAUGGAUGAAUUGGCGGAUGUGGAUGCUAAUGCAAUGAGCAAGUCACUGGAUACAUCAGUGGUGGCGGAUGGGGAUGCAAAGGGCAUGGGCUUGGAUGUUGAGAUGGAGUCAGGGGAUGCUGAUGCUAAUGCAGGGAUCAAGUCACCGGAUACAUCUAAGGUGAUGGAUGAGGAUGCUAAGGGCUUGGAUGUCGAGAUGGAGUCAGGCGAUGUGGAUGCUAAUGCAGGGAGCAAGUCGCUGGAUACAUCAAAGGUGAUGGAUGAGGAUGCAAAGGGAUUGGAUGUUGAGAUGGAGUCAGGGGAUGCAGAUGCUAAUGCAGGGAGCAAGUCACCGGAUUCAUCGAAGGUUAUGGAUGAGGAUGCAAAGGCCUUGGAUGUCCAAUUGGAGUCGCAGGCUAUUGAUCCUAAUGCAAGCAAUAAUUCGACGGAUACAUUGAAGGUGGUUAAUGAGGAUGCAAAGGUCAUGAGCUUGGAUGUCGAAUUGGAGUCAGGGGAUGCAGAUGCUAAUGCAAGGAACAAGUCACCUGAUACAUCAAAGUUGGUGUAUGAGGAUGUAAAGGUGGACGUGGAUGCUAAUGCAAGCAGCAACAAACUGGAGACACCCAAUGUGGCGGAUGAGGACGGCAAAUUGCUGUUCGGGGGUGUGGAUGCUAAUGCAAGCAGCAAUAGACUGGAGCCACCAAAUGUGGCUGAUGAGGAUGAUGAAUUGCAGUUGGGGGAUGUGGAGAGAUUGGAGACAUCGAAGGUGGCGGAUGAGGAUGUAAAGGGCAUGAGCUUGGAUCAAUCAAAGGCAGGGGAUGCCAUGGUGCUGGAGGAAGCUGUAGGUCCUACACAUGAAAUGAAUACUGUGAAUUGUGAGGUUUUGGCAGACUUUGCAUGGGAGGAAGGUGAAGACACGAUUGUGGGUGCAGCAGAGAAGGAUGCAUGUCCAUCGCCGGAGGUGGAACUGUUGCCACAGGAGAAAGUGCUAGUAGUGCCAGAGGAGGAUGAGGAGGCCGAAGAGGAAGAAGAGAAGGAUGAGGCAGGGUGGAGCUCUGCCAAUGAUGACGAUGACAGUAUGGAUGUCGAAGAUAAUGUAUCUGUCCAAAAUCUGGAUACUGAUAAUGAGGAGGCGGAGGAGUCAGAGCAUGAUGCAUUUGAGGGGUGUAGUGGUGGAGUGGAGAUGAACUGGGGUAUUGGGGAUGACAAGGGGGGCGAGGGGACGACGCAUUGUUUACAGCAAUGUGACUUUCCAGGGGUGGAGUUUGAGAAUUUGAAUAAAGGGAAUGUUGGGAUGAGGGAUGGUGUGAGCUUUGAUGAUGGAUUCAAAAUGGGUUCCUUGCAUGGGAUGGAGUCAAACCUCCUCCAGGCUAUGAACUCAGAUCCCGCGACAUACAAUGGCACGGAGAAUGCACAUGACCUGUCCUCUGGAAAUUUCUUGGCUAUGGGGGCUGAUGCACAUAAGAAUGGAGUGGACCUGGGGGCUGGCAAUUCAUUUUUCUUUGGCAAUAAUAAUGGGAAGAGGCACGUUGAGGAUAUUGAUGAUGGGUACGAUGACCAGAUGCAAACACAACAGCAGUUUCUGCAGGGCAAUCAACAUAAGCGGAUGCGGAACUCCAGCAGUAGUGUACCACCUGGAUCAGCAUUCUUCAAUGCAAAUUAUUCAGAACCCAUACAGAACUUAUUGGUCAAUGCCAGCAUGUUAUAUGAACAGAAAGAGAGAGAGAUUCAAGAGGCGCUGUCACAGAAGCAAUUCAUGGCUAACUUGCUGCAGGAGAAGGAAGCAAUUAUCCACUCACUAAACUCAGCCAGGUUUGAGCAAGAGAAUAAGUUGCAAUCAAAGCUUAGGUGCUUUGAGCAUGAUCUGAAUGUGAUGGGUCAGUUGGUCAGUGGGUAUAAGAGGGCUUUGAAACAGAGUCAUGCUUCUUUCAAUGAGUACAGGAAGAAGUUCCCUUCUAACGAGUUCCGUUAUCGUGAUGUUCCUAAUGGCGGCGGUCUUGUCCUUAGCGUCAGGGAGUUGGAGAGGGAGUUGGAGAGGAAACGGUGUGAGGAAGAGCAGCAGAAAAUUGCUGCAGCAAAUGAGAUGAUUGGAAAUUUCAAGCUUGAAUGGUUGUCAAAGCCUGAUGAUUGGGAAGAUCGCAUCAACCUUUUGUGGCGCAAAACUGAAGGGCUGGCUCGGGAGCUUGAUCUUCUCAAGGAAAAAAGAAAAGCAAAGCUUGCAGCCCUUGCUAGGGAAGAAUGAGUUCUCUGAUAGUUAGAGGUUCUAAUGUGAAGAUGGAGAGCUCUCUUGGAUGUUUGACGUCAACAGCGAGACAUGGGAUUGGCGGCAACUGUGGCUAGCUCGUCGUGCAUUGUAGACUGUAGCGAAGAAGGCAUAAUUCCAGCUGUAAAUCAAAUGUUUUGUCAUCCAAGGGCGUUCUAAUGACCAGUACUAGUGCUUGCUUUAUUUAGAUGGCCUUUUGGUUGAUUUCCUGCAUGGAGUAAAAUACUGGGUGGUGCCAGGUUAAUCUUAUAUGUGUAGAACAGUUCACAUAGUCUCUUACAUUUGCAUCCAACUUUGCG